UUAAAUUGAAGAGUUUGAUCAUGGCUCAGAUUGAACGCUGGCGGCAGGCCUAACAUAUGCAAGU
RNAcentral lists this ribosomal RNA (64 nucleotides) under Salmonella enterica subsp. enterica serovar 4,12:i:-. RNAcentral's name for it is "partial 16S ribosomal RNA". The record is from RNAcentral. Lineage: Bacteria; Pseudomonadati; Pseudomonadota; Gammaproteobacteria; Enterobacterales; Enterobacteriaceae.